UACAGAGGGUGCGAGCGUUAAUCGGAAUUACUGGGCGUAAAGCGUGCGUAGACGGCUAUCUAAGUCGGGUGUGAAAGCCCCGGGCUCAACCUGGGAAUUGCAUUCGAGACUGAAUAGCUAGGGUACGGUAGAGGGAAGCGGAAUUUCCGGUGUAGCGGUGAAAUGCGUAGAUAUCGGAAGGAACAUCAGUGGCGAAAGCGGCUUCCUGGACCAGUACCGACGUCAGGCACGAAAGCGUGGGGAGCAAACAGG
RNAcentral lists this ribosomal RNA (252 nucleotides) under uncultured bacterium. RNAcentral's name for it is "partial 16S ribosomal RNA". It matches the Rfam family "Bacterial small subunit ribosomal RNA", at positions 524 to 776 of the family's 1533-position model. The record is from RNAcentral.